UACAGAGGGUGCAGGCGUUAAUCGGAAUUACUGGGCGUAAAGCGUGCGCAGGCGGUUAUGUAAGACAGAUGUGAAAUGCCCGGGCUUAACCUGGGAACUGCAUUUGUGACUGCAUGGCUAGAGUUUGGCAGAGGGGGGUAGAAUUCCACGUGUAGCAGUGAAAUGCGUAGAUAUGUGGAGGAACACCGAUGGCGAAGGCAGCCCCCUGGGUCAAGACUGACGCUCAUGCACGAAAGCGUGGGGAGCAAACAGG
RNAcentral lists this ribosomal RNA (253 nucleotides) under uncultured bacterium. RNAcentral describes it as "partial 16S ribosomal RNA". It matches the Rfam family "Bacterial small subunit ribosomal RNA", at positions 524 to 776 of the family's 1533-position model. The record is from RNAcentral.